Molecule: non-coding RNA, 870 nt
Organism: Sus scrofa (pig)
Lineage: Eukaryota; Metazoa; Chordata; Mammalia; Artiodactyla; Suidae
Source: RefSeq, a predicted model, not a curated record
UCAACAGGCAUCUUUUUGUGGUGCAACAAGUUAAGGAUCCAGCAAUAUCACUGCAGCAGCUCAGGUCAAAGCUGUGGUGCGAGCUGCUGCGGUGAUAUUGUGCAUGCCCCGGGUGAGGUCCAUAAAAAAGAAAAAGAAGGGCUUGACCGGCGCGCUCCCAGGGGCAGGAGGAGGGCAAGUCCCGGUCCCGGCCCUCGGCGGCACGGGUGGGCUCGGAGCAGGCCCCGCACCGGGCAGCAACCCUAUUCUCACUCCGGAGGCCCCCUGCCCUUACUUCCCCUUUCUCCCCCGGCCCAUGGUGCGAGGCUGGGAGCCGCUGCCCGGGGCCUGACAGCGUUCGGAGCCUUCUAGACUGCCUGUGAAAUGGAGGAGAAGAGAAACGUUUCCUUCCCAGGCCUCCCCUCCUCCUCUCCACGACUACCUUCUGGCAACCUCAACACACACACACAGAAACCUGGCCUUAUUCUUGGGGAGCAGUGGCCUUUGGGAAUGAAAGGGUUAAGAGAAACUACUCCUUCUGACCCCUACCCAGCCAUACUCAGAAAAUCAACCAGUAAAGUGGGAACCUGAGACCUCAGAGGUUCCUGGUGUUGCGUCCUAAUGUGAGACUUCUGAACUGAAAGACUCAAGCUGAGACCUAUUUGGUAAUGUGGGCCCAGAUGAGAUCUUUUAUCAUAUGUCCCCCGUUCUCACCAUACCUUUCAAGCUUAACCAUACCUUUUUAUGGUUAAGAUAGGUAGGUGGCAGUAAUUGAAAACAAAAAAGCCAGCUGGGAAUUUUUAAAUGAUGCAUACACAUCUUCAGUGUUGUCAUUAAAAGUACAUUCAUUUCACCAAAAAAAAAAAAAAAAAAAGAAAAGAAAAAGAAAAA